AGAGAUGCACUGGGUGUAAAGCGUGCGCAGGCGGUUUUGUAAGACAGAGGUGAAACUCCCCGGGCUCAACCGUGGGAACUGCCUUUGUGACUGCAAGGCUGGAGUGCGGCAGAGGGGGAUGGAAUUCCGCGUGUAGCAGUGAAAUGCGUAGAUAUGCGGAGGAACACCGAUGGCGAAGGCAAUCCCCUGGGCCUGCACUGACGCUCAUGCACGAAAGCGUGGGGAGCAAACA
This 232-nucleotide ribosomal RNA is filed under the name uncultured Alicycliphilus sp. RNAcentral describes it as "partial 16S ribosomal RNA". It matches the Rfam family "Bacterial small subunit ribosomal RNA", at positions 548 to 774 of the family's 1533-position model. The record is from RNAcentral. Lineage: Bacteria; Pseudomonadati; Pseudomonadota; Betaproteobacteria; Burkholderiales; Comamonadaceae.